Molecule: ribosomal RNA, 1416 nt
Filed under: Triticum aestivum (bread wheat)
Lineage: Eukaryota; Viridiplantae; Streptophyta; Magnoliopsida; Poales; Poaceae
Description: partial small subunit ribosomal RNA
Source: RNAcentral
AUGGCGGCCAUACUUGAAACUUUGCUUAAAUCAAGUGUCAAUAAGUUGCAAGAUGUCAUCACGGAUGAGGCUGUACUAAUCCUAGGGGUGGAAGAAGAGCUCACAAAACUGCUGGGACGAGUGGAACUAAUUCAGUGUUGUAUAUACGAUGCGGAGAAAAGGAGGACAAAAGAGCGAGCAGUAAACAACUGGCUUGGUCAACUGAGAGAUGUUAUAUAUGAUGUUGAUGAAAUCCUGGAUGUGGCUAGAUGUAAAGGAAGCAAGCUACUUGCUGACCACCCUUCACCAUCAUCAGGCAAAUCAGUUGCAUGUAAAGGCCUUUCAGUCUCCUCUUGUUUUUGCAACAUAGUGCCACGCCGUGAUGUUGCUGUUCGGAUUAGAAGCCUGAACAAAAAAAUUGAGAACAUUGUAAAUGACAAGAUAUUUUCGACUUUCAACAGUAGUACACAACCUACUCGAAAUGGUCCGACAUCCAAACUGAUAAGACGUUCCACUCUUGUUGAGCCCAACCUUGUGGGGAAGGAGAUCAUACAUUCUAGCAGGAAGUUGGUGGACUUAGUGGUUGCACACAAGGAAUACAAGUCUUACAAGCUUGGUAUCGUUGGAACUGGAGGAGUUGGUAAGACAACACUAGCUCAAAAAAUAUACAAUGAUCAGAAAAUAAAAGGAAGCUUCAAGAUACAUGCAUGGAUUUGUGUUUCACAAGACUACAAUGAAGAAACUCUUCUUAAGGAGGUUCUUCGGAAUAUUGGUGUGCAUCAUGAGCAAGGUGAAACCAUAGCAGAGCUCCAGAGGAAGCUUGCAAAAACAAUUGAAGGGAAGAGUUUCUUUCUGGUUCUAGAUGAUGUAUGGCAUUCCAGUGUAUGGACGGAUCUAUUAAGACCUGCAUUACAUGAAACAUCAUCUGGAGUAAUAUUGGUAACCACACGAGAUGAUCAAAUUACAAGCAGAAUAGGUGUACGGUAUACCCAUCGAGUUGAUCUCAUGUCAGUAGAGGUGGGAUGGGAGCUUCUUUGGAGGAGUAUGAACAUUGAGCAAGAGAAAGAAAUACAUAAUUUAAGAAACACAGGGAUUGAGAUUGUUCGUAAAUGUGGCCACCUCCCUCUUGCAAUCAAGGUUACCGCUGGUGCUUUGGCAAGUGGAGAUCUAACGGAGAAUGAGUGGAAAAAGUAUUUGGGCAAAUAUGUUGGUUCCCACAACAUGCUCUCUGAUGAAAUAGAAGGAGCUAUGUAUCUGAGCUAUGAUGAGUUGCUGCAUCGUCUGAAACAGUGUUUCCUUUAUUGUGCUUUGUAUACUAAAGAUUCUAUCAUUCGGCAUGAUGAAGUUACCUGGUUAUGGAUUGCUGAAGGCUUCAUCGAGGAGCAGCAAGGCCAACUACUAGAAGAUAUAGCAGAAGAGUACUACUCAGUGUUUUGA